RNA transcript from Drosophila biarmipes, 382 nucleotides. It is a transcript of the gene named tabkunin 2-like, with no coding region annotated. NCBI's taxonomy places the organism in Eukaryota, Metazoa, Arthropoda, Insecta, Diptera, Drosophilidae. The record is from RefSeq and is a predicted model, not a curated record. The transcript has 3 exons.
GCUGUUUUAGCUAAAGUCAUUUUGUCUACACCAGCUGCAAGUUCUUAUAUUCCACGAUGAAGCUUAUUACCUUGGGUUUUGUACUUCUCGCACUUGUGUCAAAUUCCUUGGCUCUGAAAGACGCAAUUUGUGCUCCAUCUACUGUAAGGCCUGAUGGACUCGUAUGUCAAGUAGCUUAUAGAAGUUGGGUAUAUAACACUGCACAAAAUAAGUGCUUCCUAAGUAUCGGUUGUGAUGUAGGUCCCAAUAACUUCAAUUCCAAAAAAAAAUGCGAGGCCAAGUGCUUGGAAUAGCAUUGAGCGAAAAAGAAUGAAAUAAAUUAUUUUGAAGAAACUACAGGUCUCUGAUCUUAAUCCAAAUAUAAAGAUUCAGAUGAAAUAUC